Molecule: ribosomal RNA, 90 nt
Filed under: Staphylococcus pseudintermedius
Lineage: Bacteria; Bacillati; Bacillota; Bacilli; Caryophanales; Staphylococcaceae
Also listed under: 1 other name
Source: RNAcentral
CACCUGUUCCCAUGCCGAACACAGAAGUUAAGCUCUUUAGCGCCGAUGGUAGUCGGACUUACGUUCCGCGAGAGUAGGACGGUGCCAGGU